CAUACAGCGGCAGAAGACAAAGGAAGAGGAAGUCAGCAUCUCAUCACAUUCAUGAUUCACACACUGCCAGGAACCACCUGAAACACACACCGAUUGCCUCAGACCUGUGUAGAGCUAAAUCUGAUGACAACAGAGAAGAUCAUUGAAUAAGAGAGAAGAAUGAAGAUGAUCUGGACUUUCACUCUGCUGAAGAUUCCUGAUGCAAUGACCUCCUUGAGUGUGACUGAACAUUCAGGGGGUGGAAUCAACAUCACUUGCAUAUAUCAAGACAAACAUACUGGAAAUUCAAAGUAUUUUUGUAAAGGACCGUGAUUAACAUUCUCUAAUCUCGUCAAGACUUAUGAGAAAAACAAAUGGGUUGAUUCCGGAUGAUUCUCUCUGUGUGAUGACACAAGAGAAGCAGUUUUCACUGUGACCAUCAGAGAUCUAAGUGAACGAGAUUCUGGGGCGCACCAGUGUGGAGUUAAAAAAAUUAGGAAUUGAUUCCUACACUGAAGUGAAUCUGAACGUUAGCACAAAAACCACCACCCUCAGUAUCAUCAUCAUCAUCAAUAAUCACAACUCAUCAC
Long non-coding RNA from Sinocyclocheilus grahami, 569 nucleotides. RefSeq lists it as uncharacterized. The record is from RefSeq and is a predicted model, not a curated record. Lineage: Eukaryota; Metazoa; Chordata; Actinopteri; Cypriniformes; Cyprinidae. The transcript has 3 exons.